UCCCUCUACUCAAACUACAAAUUUUCCAAAUUUGACCUUUCUGCGAAAUACAUACAAAUAACCAGCUCUAGGAAGGGCGCCUUUCUUUUUUACUCUACAAUUUAGAUCUGAUCUCUUUCAACUUCUCGACAGUUUCAAAUCAACGUUAGGUGCUCCCAACUCUACACAACGCGCCAUUCGUCUCCUUCCCAAAGUCGAUAAUCAUCUCCAUCCAAGGUAGUCCACUACAAGGCAUAAUUUAUCGCACAAGGCGUCGUUCAUCUCUUUCCAAAAUACGUACACGGGAGCCUUAUUUUUCAUUUCCUUUAAUCAACAAACCCUUCUUCUCUAUCCUACCCAUUUCUCCUCCAUCUGUAAUAUCCCGUCUGCCCCCUCCAAUCUGCAACGCCGCCACCACCAGCUUCCCCUCAACCUCUGGCAGCUUCGACAGCCCUGCCUCCGCGUCCGCAGACUUCUGCAGGUGAGGGUUUUCUUUUCCUUUACAUAUGAAAAUCGAGUCCAAUGAACUUUUUUCCCCUGAAAAUUGACUAUCAGAUGCCUAUAUUUAGUUGCUUUCUUUUUUCUUUUCUUUUUCCUUUGAAAAUCGAGUUCAAGAUAUUAUGGUUUUUUUGCUCUAUUUUUUUUUGAAAUAAGAUACCCUUUUCUGAUGUAGAUGUUGAGUUUCCUUGAUAUUGAAAUCAUAUGUGGUUUCUCUUUGAGCUGAAUCAAAUGCACACGAAAAUCUGUUAUGACAAUGUUUUCUGCAAAUCAAAUAUUAUUUUCUUUUUUGCUGAAAUAUGAAACUUGAUGUUAUGAUGGUUGAGAUGCUUCAAAUGUUGAAAUACCCUUUAAGUAUUGAAAUGUUGCUUGUAAUUAACUUGAAAUUGAAACAAAUUUGUAUGAAUUUUUUGGUUACGGAUUCAUUAAUAAUAAAACAUGAUACAUGGAAUUGAUAGAAAUCAUAAGAAAUUUAGUUAGUGUCUAAAGGUGAGUGAAGUUUGAACUUCAACACUUAUUAAUCCAACAACAUUCCAUUAACCGAAAUUAAUAUCAAGUUUAUAACUUACAUUCAACAUUCUCUACUAUAGGACAAAUGAAGAUUGGGUAGUUAUUGAUCUAGUGUCUAAUCGAGAUUAAGAUUUUUGAAUUGAAAGCUAAUGAAUAUGUAUGAUAGGGCUAAUCAGUGAGUGGUUCCAUUUUGUUGCAUAUUAAAAUUUAUGCAUCACAACUAGUAUAAGAACUUGUCAAUCGAGAAUUUUUUUUUUUACAUGAAGGGGAGAUAUUGUUGUUGGAACUUGGAAAUGUUUCUAAUAGAGAUCAUUCCUAAUACAUAGAUUCCUGAAAUUUUGAUAGAUUAUGAUAAGAUUUGUAACAAUUUGGUAAGUUUGUUAGAGUUCAGAUGUAGAUUAAGAAUUAAGCACCAAAAUAAUCCCAUAGUAUUCUUGAUGUUUACUAGUGUGAAGUUCUGACUUCCUUAGUAGACCUUAGCUUAAUGGAUAUUUUGGAGUUGAUUGUUGAUUUGUUAAUUGUUAGUUACAUUUUGGUAUUGAUUUGUUAAUUUCCGUUGUUUAGAAGUUGUAGUAUUUUUUUCUCCAAACUUUCAUAUAAAUUUUCAUUGCUUGGGGUCUAGUUCGAUUUUUCAGGUAUCCUACCGGGUUCCAGGUUGGGCUUGGGGAAAAGUUCAAUUCUGAUGAGAUACCCGUUGGGUAUCGGGUCGGGUAUGAGAAUAAUUUUUGAUACCGGGUUCGAGGAUGGGAUACCUAACCUCAUUGCCAUUCCUAGCUCUAUUCCCUAAGACCUGUAAUAUAAACAAAAUGAAUCAGUUUACUCAUAUUUACCAUUUUCAUCUAUACUAAGCAUGUUGGUCAAAAUUACCAUAACUAAAUGCAUCUUACACUCACAAUAAUUGUUUUUUUAAGUCAAUGUAACAUAUUUCGGCACACAUAAUAAAAUACACAUGAUCAUAAACCACUAAAAGUUACUUGUUUUCUUGUUUUUAGUAUGUCACUAGUAGACACCACCAUAUGAACACACAAAUAUUUAAUGUGACCAUAUGUAUCAACUAUUAGCUACAUUACAUUUCAUGUGUCAAAAAAGACGCCACGAUACAGAAACAUAUACAAUUGACUCAUAUCACAAUAUAUUUACCUCUUGUCUCAUAAAAAAAAGUAUCAUAAUGUUAAUCAAUAAUCAUGGCUGAUGGUGACAUGUGGCCACAGUGUUCGAGUGUGGCUAAUAAUUGUCAUAUUUGGUAUAGUUAAGUGUGGUUAAAGUUUUGAUUAUCUAUACAAUGACCACACAAGCUAAUUUAAAUGUAUCCAAAAGUAGGCUGUAAAUUUUUUUUAGAUAGGCCAUUUUUUGAAAAGUGUGACCGUAUGUCAUUUUUGUACUAGUGCAAUAAUAAAAGGUUCCAACUUUUCAUAUAGUAUAUACAAGUUUUCAGCAUUACAGACAUCAAAUAAAGUCAGUGUAAUGGUAAAGGUGUUGCCCUUAACACCCAAAGGUCGCACAUACGAAUAAUGUAAUCCCCAAGAGUGUGUUUUUCAAACAAGCUUAAAAAGUUGGCGUGUCAGCGACAUAGUCAAACUAGACGUGGUUUGCCAUGUAUGUAAGCAACUUGUUUUUUUUUUUUUAACGACGAUAUUAGUAUUUGUCUGGGAUUAAACUCAAGACCUCCUGGUUAGAAACCCUAGUUAGACAUCUUGACUGUAAGCAACUUGUAACCGACAAAACCUGCUGAAAAGCUAUAAACGAAAAAAAUUAAACAAAACUAGCUAUAAACGAAAAAAUUAAACAAAACUUCUGUAAGCAACUUGUGACCGAGAAAACCUUCUAAAAAGCUAUAAACGAAAAAACUAAACAAAACGAUAUUUAUAACCUAAAAUAGGUCAAAGGGUAAAACCAAAGAAUUUCUCAAAAUAACUUAAUGACUUUUAUUUCAUUAGCCCUAUUAGCUAAAAGCUUGUUUUUUAAACAAGCUUAAAAAGCUACCAUGUCGGCGCCAUAUCCGGCUCAACGCCAUGCCUGUUGAUUGAGCCUAGUUCGCGUCGACGUUGUUUGCCGCGUCUUUAAGCAACUUCUUUUAAUCGGAAAAACUUGCAUACUAAAACGGUAUAAACGAAAAAAUUAAACAAAUCUUUCAGUUUCACUAGACCGAAAAUACAUCAAAAGGUAAGACCAAACAUUUCCUGAAAACUUUAAAGGCUUUUAUAUUAUUAGAGUAUUUAUUAACAUAUAACCCAAAUGUAAAAGCAAGAAUCAAAAGUUUGCAUGCGCCCAUUAUCAUGCCAAUCUAUGAAUAUGAGGAAACAAAUUAAUAUCACACGUAAAAUAAAAUCAGAACUAAUAAAAUAAUAAGAGAAGUUAUUCGUACAUAACAGUUUUUUGCCAUACACAAAAAUUUAUACAUUAUAUAGUUUUACAAUACAAUAUUUUAAAGAACUAAUUGUCGUNCUGCUUACACUUUAAUGUUGAUUUUUUUAUUUUAUUUUUUUUUUUUUUUUUAAAUUAACCCGUAUAAUAUACGGUUCUCACACAUAGUAAAAUAAUAAUGUAAAAGAUUAAAAAAGUUUACUAAGAAAAUUAAAGCAACAUAUUUAAUUAUUAAAUAUUAAUUGAAACUAAUAAUAUAAUAAUUAUAUUAAUAUAAUGAUUAAUAAAUAAUAAUCAUCGAAGUAAUAAUUAAAAUAAAAAAUGUAUAUAUAAUGUUAAUCUAUUAAGAAAAGUAAAAUUAACUAUUAAUUAUUAAUAAUUUACUUUUACAAACUACAACUAAUUAAUUAUUAGUAUUUAAUUUCGCAAUCUGCUAAUAAAAUAAUUAUUAAAAAGAUAUGAUAAGUAAAAAUGCAAUCUGAUAUAUUGGAACUCAAGACAAAACUGCACAGACAAAGUUCAGGAAAUGAGCAAGAAGGUAGGAGUUCUUAGGCGGCUAUAGCUAACAACUGCGCGCCACUCUCUUUUCUUACCAAUUUCCUUUACUCGGACUAUAUCGUUGACUAAAACAAUUGGUCAAUGUUCGAACAAACCAUUGGGGGAAUGAUCGUGUAUAAAUAGAUCCUUCAUAAAUGGUUACUUACACAUUCAUAUUCAUUCAAUCAUUGAAAAAAUGGCCUCAAUCUUAAAAGGAGGAAGACUUACCUUGGCUCUUAUCAUCCUCAUCGUCAUUAGUUCAUCAUCUCACAUCAUUACAACCACCGCCACUGCUCGGACUCCAUACAACCAUGAACGCCAACUAGGUUCGGUUUUCUCUAAACAUCUCAUAGUUAAUAAUAAAAAAAACGCUAAUAGAAGCUGCUCCGGUAUUUCUUAUAAAUUAACUAAGGUUGCAUUGUAAAUACGUGUAGUUAAUUUUUUUUUUCUUUUAAAUAAGAAAACAGUUUCAUUUUAUCUUACUUUCGGAGUUGUAGGGUUAUAUUCUUAUGAUUUUGUUUUCUAUAUUUAUUUCAUUCGUGUAAUUACUAUCAAUAGUCAAUAGCUAAUUUGUUUUCCAUUCAUCACCGGUUUUCCAGAUUUUCUGAUCAAACUAACCUUAUAUAAGAGUGCGUAUGUACAACUUGUCCUUCCCUAAUUAAAGAUUAAAAAUAUUAGAAAUUGAUGUAUGCAGCUACAAAUUGCGAUUAUGACCCCAUACAACAAAAUGAUGGACCCGACGGGUGUGGAAGUGGAAGUGGAAGUGGAAGUGGUGGAUCACCAAAACCAAAACCAAUACCAUGCGGUUCAAUGCCAGGUAGGAGCCUUUGUAGGAAGGGUUGCUGUGGAAAGACUAAAAUGGGAAGGGCCGAAUGUUGCUAGUAGUACCGGAGGUUGUACUACAUCACAUAAUGUAUCUGAAUCCCUUGUUUGGAUCAGAAAAUAAUAUUUCAAAUCAUUUCCACCCUCUGCUUUUCCUUAAAUUCUAUAUGUAAGUCUACAAAAAUUUUAUAUCCAGUUGUUCGAAUCUGGAGGAAAAGAUUCUAUCAUUAUAUUUGUCAAGAUGGUUCACAACUUUAGUAGAAGAAAACAGAAAUCAAACAUGGCUAGCUAACUUCAACUUGCACAAGUGGCAUGAGCUUCAUCCACGUAACUUUAGAUCCCAUAUCGACCUGAAAAUGUUGGUUAAUUUAAUGCUGAAUCAAGAUGGAAAUAUGGGUUGUUUGUAUAAGACCAAUAUCCUAAAACGGAGACUAACCAUUAAAGGCUAAUCAUGAUGGUGAUGUGGCAAUGAGCUAUUCGAAGGAACGACUGUGCACACCAUCAUGAAGGUUGACCGGUUAUGCAGUCAGAAUUGUAACAAAUUGAUAAAACGAGUGUCUAAUUUAAGAUUAAAAAAAAAUAGUCUCGAAAUCAGAUUUUUAUGAAAACUUAAUUACCAUAAUUUGCAAUAUUUAAAAUUUUGUGAACAUAAAUAUCAAGUGUUGGGUUGAAAAUUGAAACCAUAACAAUAGACAUAACUUAAUGUCUAUUUGAAUGAGUAAUUGAAGUUGCAAUGUAAACGUAAAC
Molecule: long non-coding RNA, 5457 nt
Filed under: Lactuca sativa (garden lettuce)
Lineage: Eukaryota; Viridiplantae; Streptophyta; Magnoliopsida; Asterales; Asteraceae
Description: long non-coding RNA (LSAT_LNC007967)
Source: RNAcentral